Molecule: ribosomal RNA, 527 nt
Filed under: Trigonopterus sp. 574 AR-2022a
Lineage: Eukaryota; Metazoa; Arthropoda; Insecta; Coleoptera; Curculionidae
Description: partial large subunit ribosomal RNA
Rfam family: Bacterial large subunit ribosomal RNA
Source: RNAcentral
GUCUUGUUGAUUAUAAUUUCAAGUCUGACCUGCCCAGUGAGGUAUUAAAUGGCCGCGGUAUUUUGACCGUGCAAAGGUAGCAUAGUCACUAGUUUUUUAAUUGAAAGCUUGAAUGAAGGGUUUGAUGAAAAAAAGACUGUCUCUGUAAAAAUUUAUUAGAAUUUUAUUUUUGAGUUAAAAAGCUUAAAUUUAAGUAGAAGACGAGAAGACCCUAUAGAGUUUUAUAUUUUUAGAGUGAAAUCAUUUGAGGAUUUUGAAAUUUUUUUAUUUAUAAAAAUAUUUUGUUGGGGUGAUAGAAAAAUUAAAUAAACUUUUUUUUUAUUGAUACAUUUAUUUAUGAGUAAAUGAUCCCACAAUGUUUGGAUUAUAAGAUUAAAUUACCUUAGGGAUAACAGCGUAAUUUUUUUUAGAGUUCUUAUCGAAAAAAAAGAUUGCGACCUCGAUGUUGGAUUAAAAUUAAUUGUUGGUGAAGAAGCUGAUAAAUUAGGUCUGUUCGACCUUUAAAAUUUUCCAUGAUCUGAGUUUAA